CAGCCGCCGCGGUAAUACCGGCGGCCCGAGUGGCGGCCACUAUUUUUGGGCUUAAAGCGUCCGUAGCCGGGUUGGUUAGUCUCCCGGGAAAUCUGGCCGCUUAACGGUCAGAAUUCCGGGAGAUACUGCCAGCCUAGGGACCGGGAGCGGCCGAGGGUAUUCCCGGGGUAGGGGUGAAAUCCUAUAAUCCCGGGAGGACCACCUGGGGCGAAGGCGCUCGGCUGGAACGGGUCCGACGGUGAGGGACGAAGGCCAGGGGAGCAAACCGGAUUAGAUACCCGGGUAGUCCUGGCUGUAAACGAUGCGGACUUUGUGUCGGACAAGCUAUGAGCUUGUCCGGUGCCGGAGGGAAACCGUUAAGUCCGCCGCCUGGGGAGUACGGCCGCAAGGCUGAAACUUAAAGGAAUUGGCGGG
RNAcentral lists this ribosomal RNA (414 nucleotides) under uncultured microorganism. RNAcentral's name for it is "bacterial SSU rRNA". It matches the Rfam family "Archaeal small subunit ribosomal RNA", at positions 459 to 872 of the family's 1478-position model. The record is from RNAcentral.